This 308-nucleotide long non-coding RNA is filed under the name Lathyrus oleraceus (garden pea). RNAcentral's name for it is "Pisum sativum (pea) long non-coding RNA (PSAT_LNC031339)". The record is from RNAcentral. Lineage: Eukaryota; Viridiplantae; Streptophyta; Magnoliopsida; Fabales; Fabaceae.
CAUGAUCCAUUCAACAGCAACCCUGCCAUUUUGCAUUUGAUCUCCCAUGACCAAAACACAAUGUUUGCAAACAUCACAUAGCAGAACCAUUUACCUUGCCUUGGCCAUUCCUCAAAAAUUUGUUAACUUCCCUAGCCUUGCAUUGCAUCCCUUUUUCCUGCCAUAACAAAACCAGGAGCAGACCAACAAUUACUCCCUCAAGAAUCAUCUCAUAGGCUUGGCUAAGAAUCUAAACACACAAGACCAAACAUAGCUGAGCUUACCUACUUCAAGUUCUCAUCAUUCCAAAGCAUCAGGAAGGGCUGUUU